AUUGAACGCUGGCGGCAGGCCUAACACAUGCCAGUCGAACGGUAACAGGAAGAAGCUUGCUUCUUUGCUGACGAGUGGCGGACGGGUGAGUAAUGUCUGGGAAACUGCCUGAUGGAGGGGGAUAACUACUGGAAACGGUAGCUAAUACCGCAUAACGUCGCAAAACCAAAGAGGGGGACCUUCGGGCCUCUUGCCAUCGGAUGUGCCCAGAUGGGAUUAGCUAGUAGGUGGGGUAACGGCUCACCUAGGCGACGAUCCCUAGCUGGUCUGAGAGGAUGACCAGCCACACUGGAACUGAGACACGGUCCAGACUCCUACGGGAGGCAGCAGUGGGGAAUAUUGCACAAUGGGCGCAAGCCUGAUGCAGCCACGCCGCGUGUAUGAAGAAGGCCUUCGGGUUGUAAAGUACUUUCAGCGGGGAGGAAGGGAGUAAAGUUAAUACCUUUGCUCAUUGACGUUACCCGCAGAAGAAGCACCGGCUAACUCCGUG
RNAcentral lists this ribosomal RNA (490 nucleotides) under uncultured bacterium. Its description in RNAcentral is "partial 16S ribosomal RNA". It matches the Rfam family "Bacterial small subunit ribosomal RNA", at positions 30 to 507 of the family's 1533-position model. The record is from RNAcentral.